This 573-nucleotide ribosomal RNA is filed under the name Microbacterium resistens. RNAcentral describes it as "bacterial SSU rRNA". It matches the Rfam family "Bacterial small subunit ribosomal RNA", at positions 84 to 669 of the family's 1533-position model. The record is from RNAcentral. Lineage: Bacteria; Bacillati; Actinomycetota; Actinomycetes; Micrococcales; Microbacteriaceae.
UCUUGCCUAAUACUGCCAACGCCCCUUUUACCCCUGAUCCCCCUGCCCUGCACUCUGCCAUAACCGCUGCAAACGGCGUCUAAUACUGGAUACGAGACGUGGCCGCAUGGUCAACGUUUGGAAAGAUUUUUCGGUCUGGGAUGGGCUCGCGGCCUAUCAGCUUGUUGGUGAGGUAAUGGCUCACCAAGGCGUCGACGGGUAUCCGGCCUGAGAGGGUGACCGGCCACACUGGGACUGAGACACGGUCCACACUCCUACGGGAGGCAGCAGUGGGGAAUAUUGCACAAUGGGCGCAAGCCUGAUGCAGCAACGCCGCGUGAGGGAUGACGGCCGUCGGGCUGUAAACCUCUUUUAGCAGGGAAGAAGCGAGAGUGACGGUACCUGCAGAGAAAGCGCCGGGUAAGUACGUGCCAGCAGCCGUGUUAAUACGUAGGUCGCAAUCGUUUUCCUGAAGUAUUGGGCGUUAAGAGUUUGUUAUUCGUUUUUGUUGUUUUGCUUGUGAUUCUCCAGUCUCAUCCUCGGUCCUGCCUUGGGUAGUAGCUGACUAUAGUUGGGUACGUGUUAUUGGAAUUC